ACAAAGUGGUUCACAGCAGAUACCUUUGGCAUAGAUACCUCGUGAGUACUUUUAUAAGAACUGGAUUCUAAAAUCAGUCAGAGCUGCCCUAUGAUGUACAGUCUCUUUCCACAACUUUGGAGAACAAGCUGAGCUUCCUAUCUGCACCUGCAUAUUCCUACUUCUCUGAAUCCUUCAGACCGUGACUAAGGAGAUGAACCAUGCAGGAAACACUC
This 215-nucleotide small nucleolar RNA is filed under the name Chinchilla lanigera (long-tailed chinchilla). RNAcentral describes it as "Small nucleolar RNA SNORA73 family (ENSCLAG00000019921.1)". Lineage: Eukaryota; Metazoa; Chordata; Mammalia; Rodentia; Chinchillidae. The record is from Rfam by way of RNAcentral.